GACGAACGCUGGCGGCGUGCUUAACACAUGCAAGUCGAGCGGUAAGGCCCUUUCGGGGGUACGACGAGCGGCGAACGGGUGAGUAACACGUGGGUGACCUGCCCUCAGCUCUGGGAUAAGCCUGGGAAACUGGGUCUAAUACCGGGAUAUGACUCCAUGACGCAUGUUGUGGGGUGGAAAGCCUUGUGCGGCUGAGGAUGGGCCCGCGGCCUAUCAGCUUGUU
Molecule: ribosomal RNA, 223 nt
Filed under: uncultured bacterium
Lineage: Bacteria
Description: partial 16S ribosomal RNA
Rfam family: Bacterial small subunit ribosomal RNA
Source: RNAcentral